Molecule: transfer RNA, 76 nt
Filed under: Gammaproteobacteria bacterium
Lineage: Bacteria; Pseudomonadati; Pseudomonadota; Gammaproteobacteria
Also listed under: 2 other names
Description: tRNA-Thr
Rfam family: tRNA
About the family: Transfer RNA (tRNA) molecules are approximately 80 nucleotides in length. Their secondary structure includes four short double-helical elements and three loops (D, anti-codon, and T loops). Further hydrogen bonds mediate the characteristic L-shaped molecular structure. tRNAs have two regions of fundamental functional importance: the anti-codon, which is responsible for specific mRNA codon recognition, and the 3' end, to which the tRNAs corresponding amino acid is attached (by aminoacyl-tRNA synthetases). tRNAs cope with the degeneracy of the genetic code in two manners: having more than one tRNA (with a specific anti-codon) for a particular amino acid; and 'wobble' base-pairing, i.e. permitting non-standard base-pairing at the 3rd anti-codon position.
Source: RNAcentral
GCCGGCGUAGCUCAGCUGGUAGAGCGCUUCACUUGUAAUGAAGAUGUCGGGGGUUCGACUCCUCUCGCCGGCUCCA